CCUGGCUCACGAUGAACGCUAGCUACAGGCUUAACACAUGCAAGUCGAGGGGCAGCAUGGUCUUAGCUUGCUAAGGCCGAUGGCGACCGGCGCACGGGUGAGUAACACGUAUCCAACCUGCCGUCUACUCUUGGACAGCCUUCUGAAAGGAAGAUUAAUACAAGAUGGCAUCAUGAGUCCGCAUGUUCACAUGAUUAAAGGUAUUCCGGUAGACGAUGGGGAUGCGUUCCAUUAGAUAGUAGGCGGGGUAACGGCCCACCUAGUCUUCGAUGGAUAGGGGUUCUGAGAGGAAGGUCCCCCACAUUGGAACUGAGACACGGUCCAAACUCCUACGGGAGGCAGCAGUGAGGAAUAUUGGUCAAUGGGCGAGAGCCUGAACCAGCCAAGUAGCGUGAAGGAUGACUGCCCUAUGGGUUGUAAACUUCUUUUAUAAAGGAAUAAAGUCGGGUAUGGAUACCCGUUUGCAUGUACUUUAUGAAUAAGGAUCGGCUAACUCCGUGCCAGCAGCCGCGGUAAUACGGAGGAUCCGAGCGUUAUCCGGAUUUAUUGGGUUUAAAGGGAGCGUAGAUGGAUGUUUAAGUCAGUUGUGAAAGUUUGCGGCUCAACCGUAAAAUUGCAGUUGAUACUGGAUAUCUUGAGUGCAGUUGAGGCAGGCGGAAUUCGUGGUGUAGCGGUGAAAUGCUUAGAUAUCACGAAGAACUCCGAUUGCGAAGGCAGCCUGCUAAGCUGCAACUGACAUUGAGGCUCGAAAGUGUGGGUAUCAAACAGGAAUAGAUACCCUGGUAGUCCACACGGUAAACGAUGAAUACUCGCUGUUUGCGAUAUACAGCAAGCGGCCAAGCGAAAGCGUUAAGUAUUCCACCUGGGGAGUACGCCGGCAACGGUGAAACUCAAAGGAAUUGACGGGGGCCCGCACAAGCGGAGGAACAUGUGGUUUAAUUCGAUGAUACGCGAGGAACCUUACCCGGGCUUAAAUUGCAGAUGAAUUACGGUGAAAGCCGUAAGCCGCAAGGCAUCUGUGAAGGUGCUGCAUGGUUGUCGUCAGCUCGUGCCGUGAGGUGUCGGCUUAAGUGCCAUAACGAGCGCAACCCUUGUUGUCAGUUACUAACAGGUUCCGCUGAGGACUCUGACAAGACUGCCAUCGUAAGAUGUGAGGAAGGUGGGGAUGACGUCAAAUCAGCACGGCCCUUACGUCCGGGGCUACACACGUGUUACAAUGGGGGGUACAGAGGGCCGCUACCACGCGAGUGGAUGCCAAUCCCCAAAACCUCUCUCAGUUCGGACUGGAGUCUGCAACCCGACUCCACGAAGCUGGAUUCGCUAGUAAUCGCGCAUCAGCCACGGCGCGGUGAAUACGUUCCCGGGCCU
RNAcentral lists this ribosomal RNA (1368 nucleotides) under uncultured bacterium. RNAcentral describes it as "bacterial SSU rRNA". It matches the Rfam family "Bacterial small subunit ribosomal RNA", at positions 18 to 1381 of the family's 1533-position model. The record is from RNAcentral.